UGGGGAAUAUUGGACAAUGGGCGCAAGCCUGAUCCAGCAAUGCCGCGUGUGUGAAGAAGGCCUUCGGGUUGUAAAGCACUUUUAUCAGGAGCGAAACGCUGUCGGCUAAUACCCGGCGGAACUGGCGGUACCUGAGGAAUAAGCACCGGCUAACUUCGUGCCAGCAGCCGCGGUAAUACGAAGGGUGCAAGCGUUAAUCGGAAUUACUGGGCGUAAAGCGUGCGUAGGCGGUUUCUUAAGUCUGCUGUGAAAUCCCCGGGCUCAACCUGGGAAUGGCAGUGGAUACUGGAAGGCUAGAGUGCGUCAGAGGGUGGUGGAAUUCCCGGUGUAGCGGUGAAAUGCGUAGAGAUCGGGAGGAACAUCAGUGGCGAAGGCGGCCACCUGGGACAACACUGACGCUGAGGCACGAAAGCGUGGGGAGCAAACAGGAUUAGAUACCCUGGUAGUCCACGCCCUAAACGAUGCGAACUGGAUGUUGGUCUCAACUCGGAGAUCAGUGUCGAAGCUAACGCGUUAAGUUCGCCGCCUGGGGAGUACGGUCGCAAGACUGAAACUCAAAUGAAUUGAC
This 568-nucleotide ribosomal RNA is filed under the name uncultured bacterium. RNAcentral describes it as "partial 16S ribosomal RNA". It matches the Rfam family "Bacterial small subunit ribosomal RNA", at positions 355 to 914 of the family's 1533-position model. The record is from RNAcentral.